GCCUUAGUAGCUCAGUCCUGGUUAGAGCGCGACAUUGGUAAUGUCGAGGUCCUGGGUUCGAAUCCCAGCUGAGGCU
RNAcentral lists this transfer RNA (76 nucleotides) under Nanobdellota archaeon. Its description in RNAcentral is "tRNA-Thr". It matches the Rfam family "tRNA". Rfam says of the family: Transfer RNA (tRNA) molecules are approximately 80 nucleotides in length. Their secondary structure includes four short double-helical elements and three loops (D, anti-codon, and T loops). The record is from RNAcentral. Lineage: Archaea; Nanobdellati; Nanobdellota.